Molecule: ribosomal RNA, 216 nt
Filed under: Glomeromycotina sp.
Lineage: Eukaryota; Fungi; Glomeromycota
Description: partial small subunit ribosomal RNA
Rfam family: Eukaryotic small subunit ribosomal RNA (bases 40-216)
Source: RNAcentral
GGGUCAUUAGGUUGGUCGUGCCACCGGUACGUACUGGUCUCACUGAUUCCUCCUUCCUGAAGAACCGUAAUGCCAUUAAUUUGGUGUUGCGGGGAAACAGGACUGUUACUUUGAAAAAAUUAGAGCGUUUAAAGCAAGCUAACGCUUGAAUACAUUAGCAUGGAAUAAUGAAAUAGGACGAUCGAUCCUAUUUUGUUGGUUUCUAGGAUUGACGUA